This 403-nucleotide ribosomal RNA is filed under the name bacterium Ellin6082. RNAcentral's name for it is "bacterial SSU rRNA". It matches the Rfam family "Bacterial small subunit ribosomal RNA", at positions 29 to 459 of the family's 1533-position model. Lineage: Bacteria; Pseudomonadati; Pseudomonadota; Alphaproteobacteria; Sphingomonadales; Sphingomonadaceae. The record is from RNAcentral.
AACGAACGCUGGCGGCAUGCCUAACACAUGCAAGUCGAACGAGACCUUCGGGUCUAGUGGCGCACGGGUGCGUAACGCGUGGGAAUCUGCCCUUGGGUUCGGAAUAACAGUUAGAAAUGACUGCUAAUACCGGAUGAUGACUUCGGUCCAAAGAUUUAUCGCCCAGGGAUGAGCCCGCGUCGGAUUAGCUAGUUGGUGAGGUAAAGGCUCACCAAGGCGACGAUCCGUAGCUGGUCUGAGAGGAUGAUCAGCCACWCUGGGACUGAGACACGGCCCAGACUCCUACGGGAGGCAGCAGUGGGGAAUAUUGGACAAUGGGCGAAAGCCUGAUCCAGCAAYGCCGCGUGAGUGAUGAAGKCCUUAGGGUYGUAAAGCUCUUUUACCCGGGAUGAUAAUGACAGUA